CCGGGGAUCAUUUCAGAGGAUCUGUCCUUGGACCAGCGCGUUUCACUGUCAUAUCCUCUGCCUACCAGCAUCAUUGCUCUACUGAUGUUCUCUUCUUACCGCAAUGUAGUGUCUAAGGACUGGAGAUGCUGCUUCCUGAAACAAGUAACCAAUGUGGAUCCACAAUCAAAAUAUCCUCAACAGAGGUCAGCAUUUGAAUAAAUGACUAAGCCUGUUUCAAUAUAACAUAAAAGGAAAAGGGCCCGAAGCAGAAGUUUGGGCACCCUGCAUGGCAGUACUUAGUAACACCCCCUUUG
Molecule: long non-coding RNA, 296 nt
Organism: Mobula hypostoma (lesser devil ray)
Lineage: Eukaryota; Metazoa; Chordata; Chondrichthyes; Myliobatiformes; Myliobatidae
Exons: 3
Source: RefSeq, a predicted model, not a curated record